GAUGAACGCUGGCGGCGUGCCUAAUACAUGCAAGUCGAGCGAACGGACGAGAAGCUUGCUUCUCUGAUGUUAGCGGCGGACGGGUGAGUAACACGUGGAUAACCUACCUAUAAGACUGGGAUAACUUCGGGAAACCGGAGCUAAUACCGGAUAAUAUUUUGAACCGCAUGGUUCAAAAGUGAAAGACGGUCUUGCUGUCACUUAUAGAUGGAUCCGCGCUGCAUUAGCUAGUUGGUAAGGUAACGGCUUACCAAGGCAACGAUGCAUAGCCGACCUGAGAGGGUGAUCGGCCACACUGGAACUGAGACACGGUCCAGACUCCUACGGGAGGCAGCAGUAGGGAAUCUUCCGCAAUGGGCGAAAGCCUGACGGAGCAACGCCGCGUGAGUGAUGAAGGUCUUCGGAUCGUAAAACUCUGUUAUUAGGGAAGAACAUAUGUGUAAGUAACUGUGCACAUCUUGACGGUACCUAAUCAGAAAGCCACGGCCAACUACGUGCCAGCAGCCGCGGUAAUACGUAGGUGGCAAGCGUUAUCCGGAAUUAUUGGGCGUAAAGCGCGCGUAGGCGGUUUUUUAAGUCUGAUGUGAAAGCCCACGGCUCAACCGUGGAGGGUCAUUGGAAACUGGAAAACUUGAGUGCAGAAGAGGAAAGUGGAAUUCCAUGUGUAGCGGUGAAAUGCGCAGAGAUAUGGAGGAACACCAGUGGCGAAGGCGACUUUCUGGUCUGUAACUGACGCUGAUGUGCGAAAGCGUGGGGAUCAAACAGG
RNAcentral lists this ribosomal RNA (766 nucleotides) under Staphylococcus aureus. RNAcentral describes it as "bacterial SSU rRNA". It matches the Rfam family "Bacterial small subunit ribosomal RNA", at positions 28 to 776 of the family's 1533-position model. The record is from RNAcentral. Lineage: Bacteria; Bacillati; Bacillota; Bacilli; Caryophanales; Staphylococcaceae.